AUCCCUUUCGAGUCUUGUAGUAAUAUUUUCUUUUUCUGGCCCUCUGGGUCUUGUAACAUACAUCUUGUUAAUCAAAAAAUGAGAAGGAGAUUUUGUUACAUCGUUCACACUUUGCGUCGAAUUGCUGCCUGCCGAACUUCUUUCCUUUACCAUUGUUAUUGUUGUAUUCCCUUCUCUCUCAUUCUCUUCUUUCUCUUCUUUUUUUUUUUUUUUGACGUCGUCCAGAGGUUAUCGAUUGUUGCCACGUCGGCUCGCCUUUCCAGUUAUCCUUCUCCUUCAGCCUUAAUGGCUCUAUAAUGCAUAUUUAAUAAAUAAUAUGAGAAGAAAAUUUUCUGCUAUCUCUUUUACUCAUGUAUUGAAUUGUUGCUUGCCGAGCUUCUUUCGGUCUUUGCAUCGUUUGGAGGUACCCGAUUGCCAUCACAUCGACCCAUCCUUUCAUCCAUGGCCGCAGAUUUGCCUG
Molecule: long non-coding RNA, 460 nt
Filed under: Elaeis guineensis (African oil palm)
Lineage: Eukaryota; Viridiplantae; Streptophyta; Magnoliopsida; Arecales; Arecaceae
Description: long non-coding RNA (EGUI_LNC055822)
Source: RNAcentral